UAGAAAAAUAGGAAGUGGAAUGGGUAAU
Molecule: non-coding RNA, 28 nt
Filed under: Cricetulus griseus (Chinese hamster)
Lineage: Eukaryota; Metazoa; Chordata; Mammalia; Rodentia; Cricetidae
Source: RNAcentral